This 686-nucleotide long non-coding RNA is filed under the name Triticum aestivum (bread wheat). Its description in RNAcentral is "long non-coding RNA (TAES_LNC012699)". The record is from RNAcentral. Lineage: Eukaryota; Viridiplantae; Streptophyta; Magnoliopsida; Poales; Poaceae.
CAUGGGGGUCGAGCCAAACUAUUCCUUUGCAUUUUCAACACGGACAUAAAACCUCUAUCCGGUUAUUUUCUUUCAUGUCCCGCACCGCCGACCGCAACCACCUGUCCACCAUCGUUCCACUGACCAUCGUCAACUCUGCAAUGUAAUAAUAAACAAAUUGAUUAUAAAAAUGCGUGCAUGCAUCAAAGUCAUACAAAAAUUCAGCAUGACCUUACUUAAAAAUAGGACAUAUAUAGAUCUAGAGUUUGCCCGGAAUUCGCCGAAACGGAAAUAAAUCGACAUUUCGGCAAAACAUAGGCAACUCAAAAGCACAAUUUGGCAUCAACUCAUGCCAUACAUACAAUUUCCAUAAACAUAUCACACACACAUAAACAUAUUUCCAUUUUGCAAAAGCAUGAAAUUUUAAUCACCUCUAUCUCGAGAUCGAGCACACGGUGGAGAUGAUGAUGUAGGGAUAUCAAAAGUGCACAAAGCUCUUCUUGACAAAGAUAGAUCUAGUUAGGGGGCAAAUAGGUCACUUAACUAAAUGCUACAUCUACCUAGCUACCUAAUUUGGGAGGAGACAACUUCAACUAGUGGAGGGGGAAGGAAAAAGAGAAAGGAGAUGCAUUAUUGGAGGUGGUGUAGUUAGGUAGGAUUAAUGAAGAGAGAGAAAGGUAGGUAGAAGAGGGAGAGUAAUGGGGAGA